This 465-nucleotide ribosomal RNA is filed under the name uncultured bacterium. RNAcentral describes it as "partial 16S ribosomal RNA". It matches the Rfam family "Bacterial small subunit ribosomal RNA", at positions 28 to 507 of the family's 1533-position model. The record is from RNAcentral.
GACGAACGCUGGCGGCGUGCUUAACACAUGCAAGUCGAACGCUGAACCCGCUUCGGUGGGGGAUGAGUGGCGAACGGGUGAGUAACACGUGGGCAACCUGCCCCCUGCUCUUGGAUAACUCCAAGAAAUUGGGGCUAAUACCGGAUGUGACCGCUGGCCGCAUGGUCUGGUGGUGGGAAGGGUUUCCGGCUGGGGAUGGGCCCGCGGCCUAUCAGCUUGUUGGUGGGGUAGUGGCCUACCAAGGCGACGACCGGUAGCCGGCCUGAGAGGGUGACCGGCCACACUGGGACUGAGACAAGGCCCAGACGCCGACGGGAGGCAGCAGUGGGGAAUAUUGCGCAAGGGGCGGAAGCCUGACGCAGCGACGCCGCGUGGGGGAUGACGGCCUUCGGGUUGUAAACCUCUUUCAGCAGGGACGAAGCGCAAGUGACGGUACCUGAAGAAGAAGCACCGGCCAACUACGUG